Long non-coding RNA from Dinoponera quadriceps, 3498 nucleotides. RefSeq lists it as uncharacterized. NCBI's taxonomy places the organism in Eukaryota, Metazoa, Arthropoda, Insecta, Hymenoptera, Formicidae. The transcript is spliced from 4 exons. The record is from RefSeq and is a predicted model, not a curated record.
GGGAGAUGAUGGCGUUGCAGAAGCGGUCUUACGGUCCCUAAACUGAUGGCUAGCACCAUCUAUAGGGAGAUUCCGGCUUCAUACUUCUAAACCUGGUGUAUAUAUAUAUAAAUAUAAAUAUAAAUAAAUAAAUAAAUAAAUAUAUAUAUAUAUAUAUAGAAAGUACAAAUUAGUUCAGUCCGUUUUCAAAAGAUGGCUCUGGCUGUUAUGAAUGUUGCAUAGUGACAGCUGUUUCCUGCCUGCCUUGCGAGUGAAAGGUUUAUCCCGCAGGCAACUCUCUUUCCUGUUGAAGUUUUCUACAGCCCAUCGCUUAGUGAGUGCGUAGGUUAGUUUCUUUGUGCUGCGCAGCAUCAGUUCUUGCUGUUUCGAGUAUUUUCUACAACAGUUGCUUCUCCUCGAUCGUGUUGUACGGCCGCUAAUACAUUGCGUAUUGGCGGCCGCCCCGCGUCCUCCCAGGUCACGUGACUCGGCCCUUUAGCUCCAAGAACUUGAUCCGCCAGGAUGGGAAAACAACAGAGAAAGAGAUAAAAAAAAGAGGAAUCUUCUUCUGUCUUGGACAUGCAGGAAGAUAGUAAUCGCACACCUCCCCUUCUUCAAAACUCAGCCAACUUUCCCCAUGCGGCCAAGAUGAAAAAGGUCGAGGGGAAAGGAGACACUUCACCGAUGCCAUAGAAUAGUCCGACCCCUCAAGUUCAGGAUUCGGGUAAACAAGAUAAAUACGACGCAUAUUGUAAAGCACUUUUCUACGUAAUACGGAAACAGUCCCAACAACAAGAUAACCCUUCCUACAGAUCUAUGACAUCUUUCCUCGACAUUUCCCGUCUACUAUAUAAAUCCAACGUUAAGUAUGCGGAGUGCAAGCCCCAGGGGAGGAACAUGUGGAGAAUCUCCUUUAACUCCAGAUUGGAUACCAACGACUCGGUCAAUAACCCGUAUUUAAAAUAACUUGGCCUCACUGCCUUUAUUCCUAGAUCUCUGUUAACCCGCAAGGGAAUAGUAAGGGGAAUCCCGCUGGACGCCCUCCUGGAAAAAAUCAUUGAGUGUAUCAACCGCGAAAACUUUAAAACUCAGGCUGGGAAUGCCUUUCGGCUCAAGAGAAAGAACAGGGACACCAGUAUGUGGGUUGACUCACCCACUGUGUGUAUGGAGUUUCGAAGACAAACUCUACCAGACACCAUCCUAAUCUGGAAAGCCAGAAUCAAUGUCUUGCUCUAUAUUCCUGCAGUCCGACUUUGUUAUAAAUGCGGACAUACCACCAAGUUCUGUAGAUCUGCGGAAAGAUGCUUGGAAUGUGGCGGAGGACAUAGGAACUCUCCUGAAUCACCAUGCAGGGAAAACAAGAAGUGCAUAAACUGCGAUGGGAACCAUUCCAUACGUGAUCGGGACUAUAUAGUAUACUUAAAACGAGCUGCUAUCACCAGAUACAUGGCCAUCGAGAACGUGUCUUUCUUCGAAGCCCGGAAAUAUAUAGAAUCCAACGGAAUUGAUACCUCAAUGGAUUCUCCACCGCUUCUCACCAGGAGCAACUUCCCGGAACUUCCUGAGCAAGUCAGCCCAAGGACCCGUUAUUCGGAAGCACUGAAGAGCACCUCGCAGUCUAUCUCUCCGUUCGCCAAACUACUCGAGGAUCCAUACAGUAUGAAAGCUCUACUUUUAAAAUUACUCACGAGUAUUGAACAGCUGUAUAACAGGGGGAGUGCAGAGUCAAUCAAAAGGGGAAAUGUCAGUAAAUCCUCAGAUUAUACUUCGAUUUCAACCCAAACCAUUCCCAACCCCGCCAAUGGCCCACCAUCCUUUUCCCAAGACUAGGCUAACUCAAUGGAAUUGCAGGAACGCACUCACAAGAUUUAAUGAUAUCAAUCAACUCGCUAAAGAAACUGACAUCCUUUUACUUUCAGAAACUUGGCUAUCGGAUGACACGAAUAUCAAUUUAAAACAUUUCGAAAUUGUCCGGAAGGACAGAAGGCUAAGGUAGGGCGGUGGCGUCGCUAUUUGUCUCUACAAGGGGAUCAAAUUUUCUCACCUAGAUAUCCGGUACGACUGUGACGGAGAGUUAGAAGUUUGCGGGGUCAGGCUCCACGCUGGUUCGGAAGAAAUCUCCUUGGUGUCAUGCUACAGCCCCCCUCAGGUCGCCUUAUACCCGCCUCCAACUGGACGAAAUUUUUCAAUCAGUUUUCAGACGGAUCCAAAAUCCCGGGCAACCCGUUUUCCGGAAUAGCCUUCACAUCCUUGAACGAGAAACACUCCGGCCUUUUCAGGGCACCAGCCUUCCUUCCGAUCUUCUCUAUUGAGGCCUUGGGUAUCCGAGAAGCCCUGUACGCAGGAAAAGCCAACCCCCACAUCAGUAACAUAAAAGAUGACAUCUGGGAAAUGGAAUCCAGUGGCUUCGAAAUAUCCCUCGUGUGGGUGCCCGCUCAUAUUGAAAUCUUGGGUAACGAACUAGCCGAUAGCAAAGCCAAGGAGGCGCCCUUCCGGGGAAAAAAACACCCUUUUUAGAUGCUAUCCUUGCGACCUUAAGGGGCACUGGAAAAAGAGGCUAUUUAAUGACUUCGAGAAGUGGAUUCUAGAAAAUUUCCCUGGCUCAGAUCGGGGCAUACCUCUUUAAAUGAGUCUUUUUAGGUUCAGAAUUGUAGACUCCCCCGACUGCCUACAUUGUAUACAUCCGAAUCGGCAGACCAUGUGGUUUGGCAAUGCCCUCGCUUUGGGAACCAGAGGGACACCUUGAUACGAAACGAAAUAUUCACCUUUCGCACCCUGCUUUGGGCGGUCCACUCCCUUCUCGCGACCAAAGAUCUUAAUAGCUACACUUUGUUAUGCCAGUUCAUAAACGGAAUCAACUUAUUCAUAUAAUCCUCUCUUGUCCGUUUAACUACAGGCGGACCCACUAUGCCUAAGUCAGAAACACAUUAAGACUAUUAGUUACCUUUACUCUGACGUAACCAUUCCACCUCCACUCGUAGUCUAGACACAUAUAAGUUCGCGUGCGAUUUGUAUUAUAAUCUUAGUAUGCGCUUCCCCCUCUCUUUAAGCCACUCUCUUACUCUCUUUCUCUUUGUAUAUAUUUUUUCUUUCAGUUUGUACCUGGCGAAGACUGUUUAAUUCGCAACUCACGAGUCACCAAAACUCCUACAACCUCAUACGGAAUUAUCUCUCUUUUCCUUUUUUCUUUUUUCCUUAGGUGACUCUCGAUGAACUCAUGCGUUAAAAUAAGCAAUAGCGGAUGCGUAAUCAUACUUCUUUCCUUCUUUAUUUUUUCUCCCGUCUCACCGCUUAUUACACAACUUCCCCCUCUGCGUAUACUACCCUCAGUUACUCACCCAACCAAUUUAUCUAUAAGGUUAUAAAAACUUUGUUUAUUCAUCGACGUCAAAACUAUGUAACCCACGCAAACUAACUGUGAUACUAUAGCGCUCAUGGUCGGAUAGGCUAAGUUCCUAGACCUUGUACACUUUUUUGUACACCCUUUACAUGCAAUAAAAAAAAAAUAGUGACAGCUGA